UACGAAGGGGGCUAGCGUUGUUCGGAAUUACUGGGCGUAAAGCGCACGUAGGCGGGUCUGUAAGUAGAGGGUGAAAUCCCAGGGCUCAACCCUGGAACUGCCUUCUAGACUGCAGGCCUCGAGGUCAGGAGAGGCGAGUGGAAUACCGAGUGUAGCAGUGAAAUGCGUAGAGAUCGGGAGGAACAUCAGUUGCGAAGGCGGCUCUCUGGACCAGCACUGACACUGAGGCACGAAAGCGUGGGGAGCAAACAGG
Molecule: ribosomal RNA, 253 nt
Filed under: uncultured bacterium
Lineage: Bacteria
Description: partial 16S ribosomal RNA
Rfam family: Bacterial small subunit ribosomal RNA
Source: RNAcentral